CACGUAGGGCGCAAGCGUUGUCCGGAAUUAUUGGGCGUAAAGAGCUCGUAGGCGGUCUGUCGCGUCCGUUGUGAAAACUCGAGGCUCAACCUCGGGCUUGCAGUGGAUACGGGCAGACUAGAGUGCGGUAGGGGAGACUGGAAUUCCUGGUGUAGCGGUGGAAUGCGCAGAUAUCAGGAGGAACACCGGUGGCGAAGGCGGGUCUCUGGGCAGUAACUGACGCUGAGGAGCGAAAGCGUGGGGAGCGAACAGG
Molecule: ribosomal RNA, 253 nt
Filed under: uncultured bacterium
Lineage: Bacteria
Description: partial 16S ribosomal RNA
Rfam family: Bacterial small subunit ribosomal RNA
Source: RNAcentral